Molecule: transfer-messenger RNA, 370 nt
Filed under: Rhodothermus marinus
Lineage: Bacteria; Pseudomonadati; Rhodothermota; Rhodothermia; Rhodothermales; Rhodothermaceae
Description: Standard tmRNA
Rfam family: transfer-messenger RNA
About the family: Bacterial tmRNA, also known as 10Sa RNA or SsrA, is named for its dual tRNA and mRNA-like properties. Its role is to liberate the mRNA from a stalled ribosome.
Source: RNAcentral
GGGGAUGAACUGGAUUCGACGGGUGGUAGACGCACGGCAGGCUGCGUGCCGAGCUGCCUGGCAUGCUCGUUAAUCUCGCCAGGAAAAAUAAGUGCGAACGACUACUCGUACGCGAUGGCGGCCUAAUUAAGCCCGCCAUCUGUCUCCCGCGCAGCGCGUCCGCCCGCGCGCGGCGAGGCAUCGUCGGAGGCGGACUGGCUGUAGCCGGUGCCGGCUGAACCGGCGCAGCGAGAUUCCAAUCAGCCUGGGUCCAUGCCUGGCCUCGCCGGCCGGCAUACGGCAUGGACGACAACGAAUAGGCCGGCUACGCACGUAGACGCCUGACUGGGCGGCCAUCCGGACGCGGGUUCGAUUCCCGCCAUCUCCACCA